UGGGGAAUUUUGGACAAUGGGGGAAACCCUGAUCCAGCCAUCCCGCGUGUGCGAUGAAGGCCUUCGGGUUGUAAAGCACUUUUGGCAGGAAAGAAACGUCAUGGGUUAAUACCCCGUGAAACUGACGGUACCUGCAGAAUAAACACCGGCUAACUACGUGCCAGCAGCCGCGGUAAUACGUAGGGUGCAAGCGUUUAUCGGAAUUACUGGGCGUAAAGCGUGCGCAGGCGGUUCGGAAAGAAAGAUGUGAAAUCCCAGAGCUCAACUUUGGAACUGCAUUUUUAACUACCGGGCUAGAGUGUGUCAGAGGGAGGUGGAAUUCCGCGUGUAGCAGUGAAAUGCGUAGAUAUGCGGAGGAACACCGAUGGCGAAGGCAGCCUCCUGGGAUAACACUGACGCUCAUGCACGAAAGCGUGGGGAGCAAACAGG
Molecule: ribosomal RNA, 429 nt
Filed under: Acidobacteriota bacterium
Lineage: Bacteria; Pseudomonadati; Acidobacteriota
Description: Acidobacteria bacterium partial 16S ribosomal RNA
Rfam family: Bacterial small subunit ribosomal RNA
Source: RNAcentral